This 253-nucleotide unclassified non-coding RNA is filed under the name uncultured Caryophanales bacterium. RNAcentral describes it as "uncultured Bacillales bacterium contains 16S-23S intergenic spacer region". It matches the Rfam family "Bacterial small subunit ribosomal RNA", at positions 524 to 776 of the family's 1533-position model. The record is from RNAcentral. Lineage: Bacteria; Bacillati; Bacillota; Bacilli; Caryophanales.
UACGUAGGGGGCAAGCGUUGUCCGGAUUUACUGGGCGUAAAGCGCGCGCAGGCGGCAUCUUAAGUCUGGUGUGAAAGCCCCCGGCUCAACCGGGGAGGGCCAUUGGAAACUGGGAGGCUUGAGUAUAGGAGAGAAGAGUGGAAUUCCACGUGUAGCGGUGAAAUGCGUAGAGAUGCGGAGGAACACCAGUGGCGAAGGCGUCUCUUUGGCCUAUAACUGACGCUGAGGCGCGAAAGCGCGGGGAGCAAACAGG